GAUGAAGAACGUAGCGAAAUGCGAUAAGUAAUGUGAAUUGCAGAAUUCAGUGAAUCAUCGAAUCUUUGAACGCACCUUGCACCCUUUGGUAUUCUGAAGGGUAUGCUCGUUUGAGUGUCAUUGUACUCUCACACUCCCGAUCUUGAGUUGGGAGCGGUGGACUUGGGUUUGCUGCUUCACCGUCGCUUACCUCAAAUAGGUUAGUGCAACUCUUGGUUGGACAUAGUACGGCGUGAUAAGUGUUCUUCGCCGGUGCCUCGCAAAGAGGGUGGCCGAUCGGGAUGUUGUGCUCCAAACCGUCUUCGGACAAUCUCUGACGACUUGACCUCAAAUCGAGUAAGACUACCCGCUGAACUUAAGCAUAUCAAUAAGCGGAGGA
RNAcentral lists this unclassified non-coding RNA (379 nucleotides) under soil metagenome. RNAcentral describes it as "partial contains 5.8S ribosomal RNA, internal transcribed spacer 2, and large subunit ribosomal RNA". The stretch from base 1 to 120 matches the Rfam family "5.8S ribosomal RNA", at positions 35 to 154 of the family's 154-position model. The record is from RNAcentral.